This 2013-nucleotide long non-coding RNA is filed under the name Macaca mulatta (Rhesus monkey). RNAcentral describes it as "lncRNA (ENSMMUG00000055865.1)". Lineage: Eukaryota; Metazoa; Chordata; Mammalia; Primates; Cercopithecidae. The record is from RNAcentral.
AUGCAUUCACAAGCAGUGACUGGGAUGUGUUUAGGGGAAGAGAAGAGAAUGGAAAAGCAUUACAGUGCAGAAUGGAAAUCCCUGGUAAGUCAUUUUGUGGUUGUAUCCUUCUUGCAUUCCACAUUUGGUCCUUUGGAAAACCCCCAAAGAGAUUGUGAUUCCACUAGGAGAACAAGGGGAUCACAUUCCUUAGGACAUUUGAGCUGUCCAUGAAGACAGUCCUUUGCAGUUGCUCACACCCCCGUGAGCUGUAAACUCAGCAAGAUGCCAAGGACCCGCUCAAAUGUGGCCUUAAGGACAUUGGGAGUGAAGAGAAGCACAGCUACCUUCUGCACUCUUGUCAGGCAGAGGAUUCUCAGCCCUGCAGGGGCUGCCAAAGUUCUCUCCUCUCCUCUCUGCCUCCUGAGAAGCUCUAGUUCUCUACUCCAGCCCCUUCCUGAGAAGCUCUAGUUCUCUACUCCAGCCCCUUCCUGAGAAGCUCUAGUUCCCUACUGCAGCCCCCAAUUGUGCAGCAUAAGAAAUCAGGUGCAGAGCUCCCUCCACCCCAACCUCCUGUCCCACAUGAGCAAAACUUGUUGAAAGCUGGCUGCGGGGAAUCUGGGGCUGAGGUGCUUCAUCAUCAACACUGAGCGUCUUCCGGUGCGGGGCUGACUGCAGUAUAGAAUAAGGAGGCCUCUGUGUUGUGAGGCAAUCCUUUUGCAGAACAGCUGAAUGAACCACGAUUGACUGUAGCAUCAAGUGCCUCUGCUCCAGCCCUGCUCUGUGCUUCAGGGCUGGGUGGAGGAGGCAGGGCAGUCACCGUCUUUCCCAGGGAAGUCUACAGAGCAGGGAAGGAGGUUCACUGAUGUGAGCAGGGAACGUGAGGCACAAGGAGAGUCGCCGGCAGUUGAACCAGAUCUUUGAGGGAAUGAAAGAGACCAGCAUGGGCCCUGCCAAUUACGCAUGGCGCCUGCGGUCAGGUCGCUUUCAGUUCCCUUAUGCGUCGGGGAUUCUCAAUCCUGGCUGCACAUUAGAAUAGUCUGGGAUUUGUUGUUGGUUGUUGUUGUUGUUGUUGUUGUUUUUGCUGAUGUCUGGGACCCAUCCCUAGAGAAUCUGAUAAAAAUGAUCUGAGCUGAGAUCCUGGCUUCGGUGGCUCCUAAUGUGCACAUAUUUGUUUGUUACUUUGUUUGGGGGUGGAAAACAUUUUCUUUCGUUCUGUGUUCUGGAUUAAGGCUCUUGCCUUCUUCAGACCUUGGACAGCUCACAGAGGGUUACACCCUCGGCCUUAGCGCCAGAAAAAAACUCACAAGCGUCCUACUGCGCCCUCUUGUGUCAGCAGUGAUACCGUACAGCUCCUAAGGAAAACAUUUUAUUACACAAGUUACCAACAGAGAAGAAAAAUAUACAAAAACGAAAAAAAUAUACAAGUAACCUGUAAUCCUCACUGUUAGACAACACAUGGGUAUCUCUGCAGAAUUUUUGAUAAAUUUUGUUCUCUACAAAAAUAGAAGGUUGCAUACGCUGUCUUGUUAACAUUUUACUUAAUAACCGUGAAUAUGUUUUCAUGUAAAUGAAUUUAAUUCUAUAUUAUUUUAAUUGCUUGCACAACUGAAUAGCAUUUCACAUGCAAUGGUAGUAAAAAUAUUUAACAUUUAUUGGGCACUUACUACGUGCCAGGAACUGAGGUUAGUACUUGGCAUAGAUAAUCUCAUUGUAUAUGCACAGCAUCCAUAUGAAGUAGGUAUUAUAAUUAUUCCCAUUUCAUAGAUAAGGACAUCGACGUUAAUUUUCUGAAGUGGUAUAACCAGAAUGCAACGUAAGCAUUUUACUCUAUAUUACCAGGUACAUUCAAUUUAUCUCUUACUGUUGUCGUAUUUGUUGUUUCCUUUGGAAAUUGUCUUUUCUCUCACUCUCUCUCUCUCUCUCUCUCUCUCUCUCACACACACACACACACACACACACACACACACAGAGGCCAUAGGACUGUUUCCUUAUUCCUUAUGCUAGACUCUUAGAUGGAUUCACGGAUCAAAA